AUAUCAAUAAGCGGAGGAAAAGGAACUAACAAGGAUUCCCCUAGUAACUGCGAGUGAAGCGGGAAAAGCUCAAAUUUAAAAUCUGGCAGUCUCUGGCUGUCCGAGUUGUAAUCUAGAGAAGUAAUGCCCGUGCUGGACCGUGUAUAAGUCUCCUGGGAUGGGGCGUCAUAGAGGGUGAGAAUCCCGUCUUUGACACGGACUACCAGUGCAUUGUGGUAUGCUCUCAAAGAGUCGAGUUGUUUGGGAAUGCAGCUCUAAAUGGGCGGUAAAUUCCAUCUAAAGCUAAAUAUUGGCGAGAGACCGAUAGCGCACAAGUA
This 317-nucleotide ribosomal RNA is filed under the name uncultured Agaricus. RNAcentral describes it as "partial large subunit ribosomal RNA". It matches the Rfam family "Eukaryotic large subunit ribosomal RNA", at positions 40 to 350 of the family's 3401-position model. The record is from RNAcentral. Lineage: Eukaryota; Fungi; Basidiomycota; Agaricomycetes; Agaricales; Agaricaceae.